ACGGCUAACUACGUGCCAGCAGCCGCGGUAAUACGUGGGUGGCAAGCGUUGUUCGGAAUUAUUGGGCGUAAAGCGCGCGCAGGCGGCUUCUUAAGUCUGAUGUGAAAUCUCGGGGCUCAACCCCGAGCGGCCAUUGGAAACUGGGGAGCUUGAGUGCAGAAGAGGAGAGUGGAAUUCCACGUGUAGCGGUGAAAUGCGUAGAGAUUUGGAGGAACACCAGUGGCGAAGGCGACUCUCUGGUCUGUAA
This 247-nucleotide ribosomal RNA is filed under the name uncultured Bacillus sp. Its description in RNAcentral is "partial 16S ribosomal RNA". It matches the Rfam family "Bacterial small subunit ribosomal RNA", at positions 493 to 739 of the family's 1533-position model. The record is from RNAcentral. Lineage: Bacteria; Bacillati; Bacillota; Bacilli; Caryophanales; Bacillaceae.